This is a regulatory RNA element of Oscillibacter sp. CAG:155, 87 nucleotides long. It matches the Rfam family "c-di-GMP-I riboswitch aptamer". From Rfam's summary of the family: GEMM was predicted in a large-scale screen for bacterial structured RNA regulatory elements. Genes associated with GEMM are involved in a diverse array of functions, including chemotaxis regulation, signal transduction, secretion and chitin. The record is from Rfam. Lineage: Bacteria; Bacillati; Bacillota; Clostridia; Eubacteriales; Oscillospiraceae.
AUAUGUAAAGGGCAAACCGCCCGAAAGGGCGGGACGCAAAACCAGGGGGCUAACGCGUGCAGACGCCAUGCCAGCCCAGUCGCCAUA